Molecule: small RNA, 957 nt
Filed under: Vigna angularis var. angularis
Lineage: Eukaryota; Viridiplantae; Streptophyta; Magnoliopsida; Fabales; Fabaceae
Description: Non-protein coding transcript
Source: RNAcentral
AUUUUGAAGGUCUUCCUCCAUCACCAUGAACUAGUGAUUUUAAAUAAGAAUUAGUUUCCCCCAGAAUUGCUCUUCAGCAAACCACAGUUCUCACUCCAUGGCAAAACAGCCAUGUGAGCUGAAAGAAAAGAGUAAGAGAAAUGUUUGCAUGCCUCUCCGUCAGUCCAGGGUCCCAGUAGGAUGGCGAAUUGCCGGAGUAUACAUACACUCAGGAUUACUACACACCAAACUCUGUACAAAAGGGCAAACCAAGAUCAAAAGCUGGAUUGGAGAAAAAACAAACCCAGAAUGAUAUCAAAACAAACCAAAGAAUGACACACUAAGAAGUAAGCACACUAUUUUUUCGGUGCAAGUAUCAAGAAAGGUAAGGUGGUAACCCUUCGAGAAGAGGGGGAAGAAAAGGACACUGUUAGAUGUGUUGAUGAUCCUCAGAAUGUACCAUAACAUUCUGGAGGAGUGUAUGGCUUUCAAAAUUUUAGGCAGAACAAAAUUGCAAUCUUUCUCAAACCAGGCAGAGAAGAACUAGCAGGCCCGAUUGCCAUGGGUAGGGAGAAAGGGUUCAGAAAAGGAAAGGAACUUCAAAAUGAUUUGUAUUUUAGAUUUCAGAUAAGUUAGAGAUUCAGAUUAGGAGCACUCUUUUGCAGAGAGGCGGUUGUGACGGUUUAACACUUGGGUUGAGCGAUGGAGAUUCCAUUCCAAGCGUUUUCAUAAGGAAGUUCCUUUCCUGAAAAAGGGAUAAAACAUAAUGUCAAAGAAAGAACAUGGUUACUGCAAAUGAUUUUGCAUAAACAAUUUUAACUAUCAGUUCACAACUCCAUCGUUCAGCAAGAACAGACAAAGCAGCAACUUAGAUAAUGUAUGGUUGUUGCAGCAAGAACAGUAGAUGUCUGUUUUAUAUUAUACAUACAUAUCAGAUGAUAAACAAUUAUUUCUUGCUGUGUAAGAGGUUUCUUGCUU